AAAAGAGUAUUUUAAGAGACUUCUAAGUUCUUGGUCAGGGGUUCGAUUCCUCUCGGGCGCGCCA
This 64-nucleotide transfer RNA is filed under the name Desulfovibrio desulfuricans. RNAcentral describes it as "tRNA-Arg". The record is from RNAcentral. Lineage: Bacteria; Pseudomonadati; Thermodesulfobacteriota; Desulfovibrionia; Desulfovibrionales; Desulfovibrionaceae.